Molecule: microRNA precursor, 82 nt
Filed under: Pongo abelii (Sumatran orangutan)
Lineage: Eukaryota; Metazoa; Chordata; Mammalia; Primates; Hominidae
Description: mir-2861 microRNA precursor family
Rfam family: mir-2861 microRNA precursor family
Source: Rfam by way of RNAcentral
CGCCUCUGCAGCUCCGGCUCCCCCUGGCCUCUCGGGAACUACAAGUCCCAGGGGGCCUGGCGGCGGGCGUCGGGCGGAAGAG